This 100-nucleotide small nuclear RNA is filed under the name Dasypus novemcinctus (nine-banded armadillo). Lineage: Eukaryota; Metazoa; Chordata; Mammalia; Cingulata; Dasypodidae. The record is from RNAcentral.
GUGCUCUCUUUAAUAGUACAUAUACUCAGAUUGGAAUAAUACAGAGAUCAGCAGCCUCUGUAUAAGGAUGACAUGAAAAUUUGAAGUGUUUCAUAUUUUC